Molecule: unclassified non-coding RNA, 114 nt
Filed under: uncultured Pleosporales
Lineage: Eukaryota; Fungi; Ascomycota; Dothideomycetes; Pleosporales
Description: sequence contains ITS2
Source: RNAcentral
AUACCUUCAAGCUCUGCUUGGUGUUGGGCGUUGUCACGCGACUCGCCUCAAAUCAAAUUUACUGGCAGUGGCAUAUGGUGCAGCACAUGUACCUGCCCCGUCCGCUAAACCUUA